ACACAACACGCUUUUGAAUGAUCACUCAGCCAUACUGCCAGCUAACAUCUCCCUCAAUUACUGAACAGUUUUAAAGCCACACGUUAUUGACUUAUUGAUGUUGCCAUCCCCGAAGUCAGGCUUCACGAUGACCUUUCAAAACCCGUUGACUUCCAGAUUUAUUUGUCUAUUUUUUUCUUAUUAUUUUUCAAACACUGCGCUAAACUGGGCUUUCUGAUUCUUGUUCUUUUUCUCGUUGUUAUUGCUGUUCUUUUCCCUCUUCUUUUCGGUCCCUGCAAACUAUUCUAUGCCAAACUUUAAGACAAAUAACCCAGUGGCCCCCAAGUCACUCUUGCUUCCAUAAAGCUUUAUAUUAAUUUCUAUCGUCUUUAGCCACGUCAUGUAUCUGUCCUUCAGGAGAGUAGAAUUUUAAUUCUAGGGUCUGGUGUUCUACUCUGCAGACAUUGGUUAUUACCAGCUUCAACUUGAACAGGUGAGCAAUGUUUUAGUCGCCAACACCUUGUGUGUAGCCAAAGGGUCACUAUAGCUGUUGCCAAAGGGUGGUUCAUAAAGGGGAAAAGGAUAGCAGUCGCAUGGUGUUACUGCCGUCACAAGCGCAUCGCUAACAAGACCAGCGAAUGGAGAAGGUUGAGGAGGAGGAGGAGAAAUGACGUAGAAAUGGAGUUACCGCCCAGUGUCACACGUCCUCUUGAAAUAUACCGACGAAGGAGGACUGCGGCUGGAACCUCUUGUCCUUGCCUGGGGUGACCGUAGUGCAUGCACGCCAAAAGUGCAGCCGCGGUAUUUCUCACCUCUUGGGGUUGGGGUAGGUGCGAGACCCCAGUAUUCGCAUACGAUGUACUUUCCGCCACUCCCGCCCAUUGCUCACCCAGCCCGAGCAAACUUUUUCCAAAAGGCUAGUGCCUUUAUUUACUGUACCACAUAAAACGGUAGAUCCUUCGUUUAGGAUAUAUAUUUUUUAAGGGGGGAAAAAGUUAACUGGCAGGGGAAAAAGAAUUGUUCCACAGAAAUAGGCGAUUGCUGCUCGUGGAAAAUAUAUUGUUAUAUGUAUAUAGAACUAUUAAUACUUCCUAUGAAGAGAAGCGAUUUUAAUAUUUGUAAGCAAGUUUGAGGCCUGUGUCGGAGAUUCUUAGAGGCAAUCUGCAAUGAGACAGGCAGAAGCUGCUUUAACAUUUACGAUGAUUUGAAAUAAGAAAUCGUCCCUUGAAACUCUUUGCUUUCCAUUUCUCUCUCUCUCUGUGUUUUGAAAAAUGAUAUAGGCUGAUUUUAUAUGCUGCUUCACUUUGUUAAUGGUAUUCUUCAGGUCAUAACGACGAAGUCGAUGACUAUAAAGAUGUCAAGUGUCAUCCAUGUGUGUGAAAGGAGUAAACAUCCUCUACUGCUUAGUGGGUUGGUAGCGAGUGUCUAUACUGAACAGGAUUGAUUACAGAAUGUUUUGAACCAUGAGGAUUCUCUGAAGUCUCGGUAAAGAAAGGAGUGUGAAACAAAAACUUUAUGAAAAUCUUCAAAGAAUGGUGGAUUGUUACAAGCAGGAUUGAUGUAGUUAACUGAAUAGCAGUGAUCGCUUCUCAAAAUGCCGUUCGUUCAAGUCUCUGUUGCAGCCAGAAAAAUACUUGUCAUAUCUUACUAUAAAUACUUUUCUUAAUUCUGUGCAAAUAUUGAAGACGCUGAACACUUUUUGAUGGAUUGUUGAUGCUUUACAAGACAAGUAUCUGUGUAGGUAUUGUAAAAACACACAAUUACCUCAGAUUACUCGUUCUGUGGGAAUGUACAUUUACCAUACAUUGAGUGUCAGAGUAGAGUGAUAAAAUGCAAACAAAAAAUGUCAACAGCUGCCAUUGUCAUAGUGAUAUAGUUCUUAAGAUUCUGACUGCUGUGUAAAAAGUUUUGUUGAUUGGUAUCAUUGUUGUAUUUGACACCCGAGUAUAAAGGUAGUGUUCUUAUGUUCGUAAAGUUUUAGUUCUCC
Molecule: long non-coding RNA, 1966 nt
Filed under: Pomacea canaliculata
Lineage: Eukaryota; Metazoa; Mollusca; Gastropoda; Architaenioglossa; Ampullariidae
Description: uncharacterized LOC112561699, transcript variant X1
Source: RNAcentral